This 30-nucleotide non-coding RNA is filed under the name Homo sapiens (human). Lineage: Eukaryota; Metazoa; Chordata; Mammalia; Primates; Hominidae. The record is from RNAcentral.
UAAGAUGUGAUCCGAGUCCCACAAAGGAGC